ACUAACCUGCACAAUGUGCACAUGUACCCUAAAACUUAAAGUAUAAUAAACAACAACAAAAAAAUUUAUGUUGGGCGCAUUCAAAGCCGUCCUGGGCUGCAUGCUAGCUCCGGGCCGUGGGUUGGGCAAGCUUGAAUGCCUCUGCUGAUCUGACAGGAGGUGGAGCUCAGGCAGUAAUGCUCCCUCACCCGCCGUUCACCUCCUGCUGUGUGGCCUGGCCUCUAACAGACCAUGGACUGGUCUCUGUCUGUGCCCAGGGAUUGGGGACCCUUGUCCUCAAAGACAGAGUGUGCCUCUUUAAAGAUUGCUGUUCUUUCCCUCGCAGUGAACCGGUAAUACGCUCAUUCUGCAAAGACAUUCGAAAGAUGUUUUUGGCCUAACUAGAAUCAAUUCUGUUGAAUUCCCCCAAAUCACAUCCCAAUUCACUUUUUUCCUAAGAAAUCCAAUGUUAAUUUACCCUCGAAGAGCACACAACUCUGGGUGAGUCUCUCUGGCGUCUCAUACCAAUUUUUUUCCCUUUGGCAAUUGGUCUCCAGAUCAUUAAUGUCACAUAUAACUUAGGGCCCAAACAGCCCACACAGCGAUCUCCACAGUGCCUGUCAUGAUGUGGUCGAUUUUGAUGGCAAAAAUAACUAAUUGAAACCCUACGAUUUGUUUACUUUGAAUACAUUAAGGUGGUGGUUAUCAAAUGGAGCUGAAUUAUCCCUUAAAUUACCAUGAAAACAAAAUCAAUAGUUUAUUUACCACACAAAACAAAAGAAAAAAGAAGGAAUAAAAUGCUCUGAGGAAUCUUUAUUAGAAGUUUUCCUUGGAAGAAUACAAUGUAGAUAAACUCAGAGUAAAUAAGGUAUAUGGUAACUUGGAGGAAUAAACUGACCCCUAGUUCAUAAUUGUUUAUUUCUUGGUUCCUAGCUUAUAAAUAGUCCGGUGGGGCCUUUCUAAAGUCUAAAUUUCUUUCUAACCAAGUGAUUAGAAUAAAUGUCCCGUGGUCCAACAAUUGAGUGCAGUGUGGGUGUUUAUACUAUUACUUCAACUAAAUACUGUUGUUUUUUUUUUAGAUGGAGUCUCACUCUGAUGCCCAGGCUGGAGGGCAGCGGCAUCAUCUUGGCUCACUGCAACCUCUACCUCCCGAGUUCAAGCAAUUCUCCUGACUCAGCCUCCUAAGUAGCUGGGAUUACAGGCACACACCACCACACUUGGCUAAUUUUGUAUUUUUAGUAAAGACAGGGUUUCACCAUGUUGGCCAGGCUGGUCUCAAACUCCCCACCUCAGAUGAUCUCCCUGCCUCGGCCUCCCAAAGCGCUGGGAUUACAGGCGUGAGCCACCGCGUCUGGCCGGUACUUCAACUAAAUAUUUAAGAUUAUUAGUACAUUGAGCUCAUCAAUGCUUCCACUUUGGGGUCCAAGAGCAAAACUGGAGCUAAUUCAGAUUAUCACCACCUAAGUUGCUUACUUUUAAAAAUUAUUAUUAUUUUUAAAUUUGGAAUGUCUCAGGGUUUCUGCUCCAAUUCAUAAUUCCUGUGUCUUUAGUGGAAAUGUCAGUACUUUAUAGGAUGACACACACAGCAUUAUUCCUGGCUGUUGAGACACCAAAAAGCCUGAUUUACUGUUCCUUCCAGAGGAUCCCCAACACCGACAUUGACUAAAUUCCUUUUCUGCAAGCAUCCUGGCAGAUGUUCUGGUUAAGACCUUGCACCGUCACGAGCUCAUCCUUUUCAUGCUCCAACAGCUGUUGAGUGCUGUGUAGCCACCACCCAAGCAUCUGACAUGUCGAUUUCAUUCUAGAGCCCAGCUGGAACCCUAAGAGGUUGAAAGUGGAGUUUUGUCUCCUCUGCAGUGGACACUCAAAGAACUAGCCAGGAUGGGUUGGACCUGGGAGCAGAGAGACCAUGGCUCCCUUCCAAGGCUGGGAGAAGGGAGUUGCCACUCCUUCCCAAUCAAACCAUGCCAAGAACGAGGCUUUUGCAGGGAAAUCAGUGCAGAUGAGAACUUACCAACAGUUAAGAUGAAUAAAUAUAUCCAACUGCCUGGCCCAUGUCAACACGCAACAAUUAUUUGCUAAAAGAAAUAAAAAAGGGGCCGGGCAGGGUGGCUCAUGCCUAGAAUCACAGCACUUUGAGAGGCUGAGGCAGGCAGAUCACUUGAGGCCAGGAGUUUGAGACCAGCCUGGCCAACAUGGUGAAACCCUGUCUCUACUAAAAAUACAAAAAUUAGCCGGGUGUGGUGGUGCGCACCUGUAAUCCCAGCUACUCUGGAGGCUGAGACAGGAGAACUGCUUGAACUCGGGAGGCAGAGGUUGCAGUGAGCCAAGAUGCACCAGUGCACUCCAGCCUGGGUGAUAGAGUGAGACUCCAUCAAGAAAGAGAGAGAGAGAGAGAAGAAAGAAAAAGAAAGAGAGAGAGAGAAAGAAAGAAAGAGAGAGAGAGAGAGAGAAAGAAAAGAAAGAAAGAAAAGAAAGAAAGAACGAAAGAAGAAAGAAAGAAAGAAAGAAAGAAAGAAAGAAAGAAAGAAAGAAAGAAAGAAAGAAAGAAAGAAAAGAAAGACUGACUGCAUGAACAACAGCCCAGGAAACACAAGAGAAGUAGCGUGGAGUAGUGGCCAAGGAUGGGUGCUAGAAUCUCAGAGCCUAUAUCUGUAUAUCAAGAUGUCUCAGGCCAAUGCCUAAAAACAGUGUUCAAUAAAUAUCGAAUAGUAAUAUUACUACUGUUAUCACAAUUGAGAAUAACUGAGUGUCAACCAGCUGAUCUGCUUGCCAAUGAAGGGACUCCAGGAUCCUUAAGUCACUUCUAUUUUUCUCCACUUCCCUGGCAACUUUUUCUCCAAGACUAGAUCGAUUCAACACUCCUCCAAGUCCUGGGUUAACCUCAGUGGCCCUCUGCCUCCCAUUGUGAUCACCUUCGUCCACAGCAAUCUUUUCCUUCUCCGACAGCACAUUAUUACCUUGUCAUUGGGCACUUGAAGUAGACAUCCUUUGACAUCCUCUGUGAAUGUUACCUUAUUUCAUUCCUUGUUUUCCCAGCAUGUAAUGGGCAAACAAGGCCCUUCAAAAAACAGAUCUGACCCUGUUGACUUCUGCAGACACAUCUAGCAUCUCUUUCAACUUGAAAAAUCAUGUCUAUAUUCCUGCAUUCCUAAGCUACCAGCUAAAUUUUUUAUAAGUUUAAAUUUAUAUUUGGAUGUAAUUAUAUAUUUAUAAAUUACAUAUAUAUUUUAUAUUUUUAAGAUAUUUACUUGUGUAAAAUAAAUAAAUAAAUGGGUAAAAUUUUCAGCAUAUUGUAAAUACUGGAUAUUUUAAGAGAAAACCGUAAUAUAACUUAAAGUAUGUCCAACUGAGGCUCAAUACGAUUGUGAUUUGAUACCUGUCAUAAUUGAUUUUUAAAAAAAUACAUACAGGAGCUUCUCAUGGUUAGGAACUUUUCAUUGUUCUUUAUUCCCCUUGAACUUGUACACCCCUAGAAGAAUUUGAUCAUAAUGUAUCAUAGUUUUAUUCUUGGAAGUUUUUUUUAUUGAUUACUCUAUCACAUAUCACUGACUGCAACAAAAAUAUGCUCAUACAUUUACAUUUAAAUUUAAAAAAUGUCUCUGACUAUAAGUCUUUACAUUUUAAAAUAAGUUUUUUUUUAAACUUAUCAUUAUGGAUGAUCAUUCUGGUUGUUCGCAGAACACAAUUGAUCAAAGCAGCAUAAGUAUGGCAGAGCUCAGGAUAAAGAAUUAUUAAUCUGAAAAAAGUAAAAUUAUUUGGCUAUUCUUCUCUUAGUAUGAUAGGUGGGAUUUUUUUUUCCAUUAAUGUAUUCAUGAAUAUUACUUGUUAUUUUAAGGAGGCAGUUUCAUCAUCAAUUUUAUUCACACCGUUUUGUUUUUAUUGGUGUAAGCACUGAGCAUUCGUUCACAUAAACAAGCAGAUGGGAAAGGGGGGCCUUCUGUUGGAAGCCACGCACUUGUUUGGACUCCUUCCAGGUUAUGUGCCAAAAAUCACACAAUGAUUUAUCAUAAAAAUAUUUUUGAUAAUCUAUGAGCUGACAUCCCUAUUAGGUUCCUCUUCAAUUUCAGUGAAAGUGAAGAAUUGAAAACAAUUUGACUGUAAAGGGAUGUGGUUCCAGUUAUACACCCAGAUGGGGUACCCAGUUGUCAGAGAUGUUUGUGUUCUCAAUGCUCAGGCUAAUAUUUCAAAAUGUGUCUUUGCCUGAUGCCCUGAAGGACUUUUCCCAGGAGGGGAAAACGCCUUUGUAAGACGCAAGCUGGGUGAUGGCUUUUGUGUGAGGACGUCUUCCACCAUCCACCCUUCCCCAUCCUCCUUCUGUCCUGGGAGGCUGGUUGCAUGGACCACAGCAAUGGGCUCCCUUCUCUGCUGCUUCCAAGUUAUGUUCCCUGCCAGUGGUUGGAGGUCAGGGCAGGGAAGAAUAAAGUUGGGCUCCAUCUGUGGGAUGACCCAGGGUGGCUGCAUCUCUCUCAGGAAGGUCACAGCUCCUUCACAUUCUACACAGCCUCUCCUGUCUCCAGAUUCUGGAAACCUCUUUCUUCUCUAACUCUGCACAGGGCCCCACUAACCCUAGAGAGCUGCACUAUCCUUUGUGGCUUUCUUUACUUCACCCACACCUUUAUAAACAUUUCCUGUAUUAAACUUUCUUCGAAUUACCCAAUUUGAGUGUGCUUUCUGUUUUGUGUUAGUAUCCU
RNAcentral lists this long non-coding RNA (4673 nucleotides) under Homo sapiens (human). Its description in RNAcentral is "HSALNT0268132". Lineage: Eukaryota; Metazoa; Chordata; Mammalia; Primates; Hominidae. The record is from RNAcentral.